AGAACGAACGCUGGCGGCAUGCCUAACACAUGCAAGUCGAACGAGACCUUCGGGUCUAGUGGCGCACGGGUGCGUAACGCGUGGGAAUCUGCCCUUGGGUUCGGAAUAACAGCGAGAAAUUGCUGCUAAUACCGGAUGAUGACGUAAGUCCAAAGAUUUAUCGCCCUAAGGAUGAGCCCGCGUAGGAUUAGCCUUGUUGGUGAGGUAAGAGCUCACCUAAGGCGACGAUCCUUAGCUGGUCUGUAGAGGAUGAUCAGCCACACGUGGGACUGUAGACCACGGCCCACGACGUCCGUACGGGACGGCGAGCGAGUGGGGAAUA
This 322-nucleotide ribosomal RNA is filed under the name uncultured soil bacterium. RNAcentral's name for it is "bacterial SSU rRNA". It matches the Rfam family "Bacterial small subunit ribosomal RNA", at positions 26 to 363 of the family's 1533-position model. The record is from RNAcentral.